AACGGCAGCCUCAUCUGGGGAACAUAGCGAUACAUCCAGCUCUCCCGCUGCCUAGCCUGUGUGUAUUGAAUAGGAGUUGGAAAGGGCUGGAGUUUUUUGCCUUGAGUCAUUGAGCAGCGCGGGGCUGUGUGAUCAGGACAUUCAGAUACAUGUAACCCUGUAAGAAUGCCAUUUCAGGAUUACGUCGAGCGAGGGAGAGAGGCAACUGCAUUUCCACUGGCCACCAGCCUUCCCCUUGCCCCGUCCUCUCUGCUGAUGGCUGUGAAUUGAAAAGGUAAUUUAAUCCAGAUUCGGACUGGACACUCAGAGGGAGAGAGAGGGAGAAAAAUGUUUGAAAACGUCACAUCUACCGAUGAUCACGUUUACGGAUCUUCAAUUAUCCCUUACCACGAAGAUAGGUGGCGUGCGUUUCUGGGGCCGCACUUCAGGGACUCUCUUUAUAGAAAAAUGUCAUUCCAACAAGCGGAACACGUCAGUCCGUCCACAGGUUGUGUUUCCUGGUGUGAGAGACAACGGAGCGAUCAGUUCUAACCUGCACAGCAGGAAUAACGGUCCUUCCUCAAGUCUUUAAAGGUUUCUUUUUUUCCCCUUUCCGUUUAAACAAAAAUCUCGCCUUGAUCUUCAUGUUCCUUCAUCUGCACGCUGUCGACCUCCCAACAGUCUUACCAAACAACAGAGCCAGGACAGAGCAGGACCGUAAAGCGUCGUGAAAAGAGCCGGGAGGGGGGGGGAACGAGCCGAUGCCGAGUCCUGGAAUCUGAUCAGACUCUUAUCAAUGAAGCAGCAGAUCAUGGCGGAUGGCCCCAGGUGUAAGAGGCGAAAACAAGCCAACCCCAGGAGGAAAAACGAUAAUAAAACCAUUCAUUAGGAUUGCGAAGAUUUAUCCCCCCGCCCCCUCUACUUACCUCAGACCCCAGCAGCUAUCCAUCAUCCGCUGUAAACACAUUAGUAAAGGAUCUUUCCUUUCUGUUAAGAUGUAUUGAUCAUUGUCAAUAAAGGUACUUUGGAGGAA
Non-coding RNA from Chiloscyllium plagiosum (whitespotted bambooshark), 1012 nucleotides. The record is from RefSeq and is a predicted model, not a curated record. Lineage: Eukaryota; Metazoa; Chordata; Chondrichthyes; Orectolobiformes; Hemiscylliidae.